This 83-nucleotide transfer RNA is filed under the name Rhodanobacter sp. MP7CTX1. It matches the Rfam family "tRNA". From Rfam's summary of the family: Transfer RNA (tRNA) molecules are approximately 80 nucleotides in length. Their secondary structure includes four short double-helical elements and three loops (D, anti-codon, and T loops). Lineage: Bacteria; Pseudomonadati; Pseudomonadota; Gammaproteobacteria; Lysobacterales; Rhodanobacteraceae. The record is from Rfam by way of RNAcentral.
GCCGGUAUGGCGGAAUGGUGGGCGCGGCGGACUCAAAAUCCGCAGGCAGCGAUGUCGUGCAGGUUCGAGUCCUAUUAGUGGUA